Molecule: ribosomal RNA, 411 nt
Filed under: uncultured bacterium
Lineage: Bacteria
Description: bacterial SSU rRNA
Rfam family: Bacterial small subunit ribosomal RNA
Source: RNAcentral
AGCGAACGUUAGCGGCGCGCCUAACACAUGCAAGUCGCACGAGAAAGGGGGCAACCCCCGGUACAGUGGCGCACGGGUGAGUAACACGUGGGUGAUCUGCCCAGAAGAAGGGGAUAACCUCUCGAAAGGGGGGCUAAUACCGCAUAGGACCACCGGGGCUUUGGCUCUGUGGUGAAAGGGGGCCUCUGUUUACAAGCUCCUGCUUCUGGAUGAGCCCGCGUCCCAUCAGCUAGUUGGUAGGGUAAUGGCCUACCAAGGCUACGACGGGUAGCUGGUCUAAGAGGAUGGCCAGCCACACUGGAACUGAGACACGGUCCAGACUCCUACGGGAGGCAGCAGUGGGGAAUCUUGCGCAAUGGGCGAAAGCCUGACGCAGCGACGCCGCGUGGGUGACGAAGGCCUUCGGGUUGU